AAAUUGAAGAGUUUGAUCAUGGCUCAGAUUGAACGCUGGCGGCAGGCCUAACACAUGCAAGUCGAACGGUAACAGGAAGAAGCUUGCUUCUUUGCUGACGAGUGGCGGACGGGUGAGUAAUGUCUGGGAAACUGCCUGAUGGAGGGGGAUAACUACUGGAAACGGUAGCUAAUACCGCAUAAUGUCGCAAGACCAAAGAGGGGGACCUUCGGGCCUCUUGCCAUCGGAUGUGCCCAGAUGGGAUUAGCUAGUAGGUGGGGUAACGGCUCACCUAGGCGACGAUCCCUAGCUGGUCUGAGAGGAUGACCAGCCACACUGGAACUGAGACACGGUCCAGACUCCUACGGGAGGCAGCAGUGGGGAAUAUUGCACAAU
RNAcentral lists this ribosomal RNA (375 nucleotides) under Escherichia coli. RNAcentral describes it as "bacterial SSU rRNA". It matches the Rfam family "Bacterial small subunit ribosomal RNA", at positions 1 to 372 of the family's 1533-position model. Lineage: Bacteria; Pseudomonadati; Pseudomonadota; Gammaproteobacteria; Enterobacterales; Enterobacteriaceae. The record is from RNAcentral.